Molecule: long non-coding RNA, 1179 nt
Filed under: Felis catus (domestic cat)
Lineage: Eukaryota; Metazoa; Chordata; Mammalia; Carnivora; Felidae
Description: lncRNA (ENSFCAG00000048490.1)
Source: RNAcentral
GCGCCGGGGGUCCCCGGGAGGCGCAGGGGGGCCGUGAGGACACGUUUAGGGAGGGGGGGGGGACGGAAGCUGAGUGCGGGAAGGGGGCCGCCCCCGGGGGACGGGGCUCGACGCGGGGGCGCAGAGCGGGCACCCGGAAGGGAGGCGGUGGGGGCGCUGGGCGCCUGCACAGAGAGGGCCCCGGCGGGGCUGGGCCAGGACCGGGGCCCGACCCGCCUGAACACGUGCGGCGGCGGGGCGACCCGGGGGCGCAGCCGGCGUCGGCCCCCGCCCGCAGCCCGAGUGCGGUCCCCUGCCCGGCGGCCCCGCUUACCUGCCGGCCGCGGCGGCGGGGCGGGCGCUCGGGGCGUCGCGUCGCCGCCGCCUGGGCGGGAGCCGGGCCGAGCUGGACGAGGCGGCGCGGGGGGGCGCCGGCGGUGCGCCUGCGCGUGCGCGAGGGGCGGGGCGGCGGCGAGGCGGGGCGAGCGCACAAAGCCGGCCUCUCUGAGGGGUACUACGGGGAGCGGCGAGGGUCAGGAUACCUCGGGCAGGCCAGACGCCUUAAAGGAUCGGCUCGCAGAGCGUGCCUUCGCCUCCGAAGCGGUAACCCCAAAGUUGGCCAGUACAGGUCUUUCUACUGCAAUCCAAAAACGGAAGUAUGAUGAUACCUCCAGGAAAGUGCUAGUGUGCCCCUCGAAAGUUCACCUCCUGAGCCCGGCCUGCAGCGGCGCCCCUCCCCCUAGGAGUCGAAGGGCGGCCGUUUCUCCCGAGACCCUCACUCUGGGGUCGCCGCUCCGCUUCCCCGUCGCUCCCGCACCUGACAGCGGCAGCCAAGCGCGUGCACAGCAGCCGGCCCGGGCUGAUCGCUCCACGCAUGCCCGGCACCUCGGCACACAGGGACCCUUUCAGAACCCCCCCCCCCCGCCCCCGGAAGCGAGGACCCUGAGCCCACAAGGCCAGGGGUGCCGGUGCCCGCGGGAAGCCACGGUCAGGGGCGGUCCGUACCAGCAGUCCCCGCGUGCAGGCCUCUCUGCUGUCUGCAAGGUGGGGUCCCAGACAGCGUGUCACCGUCAGUUACAAACGGGGAAGGGGAACCUCGGAGGGGAGGGCUGGGGCAAACGGAGAACCUGUUGGAGCCCGUGUUCUGGUCCCAAGUCCUGUGCAUUCUCACCCGCUGCCCCCCUCCCGCUACCCGCGUGA